CCAAGCUGGGAGCUUGUCUGCAGCCCCUAGCUGUCCAGGCUUUGUGGGGGAGUGCUCCAGCACCAGCACUUCCAGCCAGUCCCAAGAGGAGGCCACAGCCCCUGGCAAAGGGGAGUGGGUGUCCCAGUGCCUUGGCCUCCCUGAACCCAGGCAGGGGCUCAGGUGUAGGCUCAAAGAGCUGUGAUUUCCCAACAAACACAUUGCUGGGAGAGGAAAGUAAAAAAGGCCCAGAGAGGUGACCCCCAGGUUCCCACCCACCUGCCCCUGCCGGAAGCUGCUCUCCUGCCAGGCGGUCUUCAGAGCCGGGAACAGCAUGGAGCUCAUGGAUGGUUAAAGAGCAGAAGGGGCCGAGGGACAGCACAAGGAGGGCGGCGAAUGUCACCAGGAAGCCACUCAGUGUUGUGACCGUGUGUGUGGAGGCUCGCCAGGAUGCGGACAGGAGCAGAGAAGAAAGAUGACAUCGCAAGGAGUCACAGGUGAGGGCUUGGGGUCUCCAGACCAGGAGGCAAGCGACUCAGACUCCCCUGAGACUCACCCAUCUAACGGGGAAUUCCUGUGGCCGGAGGAGGUGACAUCACCUGUUUGCAAAUGAGAUGCACAGAUAUAUCGUCACAGCUCCGUUCCUGAAGGCUGCUGGGGCAGGUGCUGAGCCUUCUCCAAUGACUGCCCCGUAGUCAUUCCCAAUUUAUAGAUGAGACGACUGAGGCGCCAUCCAAGCCAGCGGAGUGAUGGAGUGGCAGGCAGGCCCAGGGAGCAGUUCUACCCACCCACCCGCCUGUCCUGCAGGAUAAGCCUGUUGAUGCAAACCCGCCCCCGCCCAGCAAUGGGGAAACGAGGAAACGGAUCACUGAGCAGGGGGCAUCCGCAGCCACCGGGGCAGGCAUCGUCAUCGCCCAGUCACCGUCACCCCUGCCCACAGAGACUUCAGAGGCACCGAGUGCCUUUGGCAUCAAUCAGCCCGUGGAAGUCUCCCAACCCUGCAAAAGAGGCAAGAUCUCCUCCCAACUUGUGGGUUACAGUUGAGGGAACACAAACUUUGCUCGGCUAGGUCACGCAGCUGCUACCCCGUGGCGCCAGGAGCUCUGACAGUGCCGCCAAGGUGGAAGAGAUGGGAUGGGGGUUCCACGUGCUCGGUUCCAGACAUCGGGUAAAGUGAGGCACUGGCACCCAUGCUCAUCACCCCCGGGGGCUGGGGAACAGCCCCGCAGUGAGGGUGUGAGCCACGCCCCUCUCUGCACAGCGGCGCUGUGGCUGCAGGCUCCCUAGGUUUGCGGGCAGGAAGGGGAAUUUGGCACGGCUCCCAGCCAUGCUCUUGCAGCCAGGCUCAAGUUCUCUGCCCCAAUACCAGGAGGCGCAGGAGUUCAGUGGACACAGAGACCAACGCCUCCGUUGGCCCCACCUCCAGGAAGUACGUAGGUGGACUCAACCAAACAGCACAGGGCAUUCACUGGCCCCCGGCACCUGCCUCAAGUGUGAGCUUGUGGCCCGCGUUGGGCCUGUCAACUUAAAUGGCGGUCAGAGACAGAGUUUGCCAAGAGUCACAUUUAUUUGGAAAUAGCGGAGCACUGCCUCGGGAACCCAGGUGCCGAGGUAAACGCUGGGCGCAUGCGCAGAGGUCCCAGCCAGGGGUCAGGGAGAUUACUGAGGUAAAGCUGCUUGGAGACAAAGCUCGUGGGUCUUGGAGACACGAGGGAGGAACUGGCCUGAGCUCAUGGCCGGAGGUGCCAUUGCUGGGAGUGAUCUGUCCAGGACACUGUGAAGGGGCCAGCGUUGCGGCGCAGUGGGGGAAGCCACUGCUCGUGACGCGGCACCCCGCAUCCUAGCGGAGCUCCGGCUCAAGUCCCAGCUGCUCCACUUCCCUUCCCGCACCAAUGCCAAUGCCCCUGGGAAGGCAGUGGAAGGUGGCCCAAGUGCCUGGGGCCCUGUACCCCAUGGGAGACCCGGAAGAAGCUCCUGGCUCCGGAUCGGCGCAGAUCCAGCCAUGCGGCCAUCUGGGGAGUGAACCAGCGGACGGAAGGCCCCUCUCUCUGCCUCUCCCUCUCACUGUCUAUAACUCUACCUCUCAAAUAAAUAAAUAAAAUAUUUCAAAAAAAGAAUAUCCAGGACAGAGAGAUGCCAACAAAAGCAGUUACUCAUACACAUAUUCACAAGAGCUAAGGAAACCAGGUAGGGGCCCGCAGAGCCUGAUUUUAGUGUAACAAGAAGCGGAAGGCGGGGAAGCGGAAGUGGCGGCAGCAGCAACAGCAGCAGCAGCA
This is a non-coding RNA of Oryctolagus cuniculus (rabbit), 2255 nucleotides long. NCBI's taxonomy places the organism in Eukaryota, Metazoa, Chordata, Mammalia, Lagomorpha, Leporidae. The record is from RefSeq and is a predicted model, not a curated record.